UUUUAAUGAGAGUUUGAUCCUGGCUCAGGACGAACGCUGGCGGCGUGCCUAAUACAUGCAAGUAGAACGCUGAUGUUUUGUGUUUACCCUAGACUGAUGAGUUGCGAACGGGUGAGUAACGCGUAGGUAACCUGCCUCAUAGCGGGGGAUAACU
RNAcentral lists this ribosomal RNA (154 nucleotides) under Streptococcus agalactiae. RNAcentral's name for it is "partial 16S ribosomal RNA". It matches the Rfam family "Bacterial small subunit ribosomal RNA", at positions 1 to 148 of the family's 1533-position model. The record is from RNAcentral. Lineage: Bacteria; Bacillati; Bacillota; Bacilli; Lactobacillales; Streptococcaceae.